Non-coding RNA from Odocoileus virginianus texanus, 978 nucleotides. NCBI's taxonomy places the organism in Eukaryota, Metazoa, Chordata, Mammalia, Artiodactyla, Cervidae. The record is from RefSeq and is a predicted model, not a curated record.
UCAUGUCUGUUUUGCCCUGUAUUCCAUUAACAUUAUGAUUAAUGAAAGCUCUCCUGAAUUUCAAAUACCUUGAAAAGUAGCCAAUGCCUGCUCUUCGGAGGCCACACUGAAGAUAAAUAACAAUAAAAAACAGGGUGAUCCAGGCUUUUGAAGUCUUUAAAGACAAGCAUCACUGUGAUCUUUGUACCACUGUUGCAGAAAGGAGGACAUUUCACAUUUCUGGCACUACUAAGGACAACACAGCGACUGAAAGAAAGCAUGAAUUUCUGGGAGCAGCAUCAGGAUACAGGGCUCCUGCUGAGCUCACCAGUUCCUUGCUUCGCACAGCUGCCUUCUCAGCUGGGGGUUUUAAAUCAGCACUGUGAGGAAAGACAGAAAUGACCAUGGUGCAUUUGCCUCACUAUGAGAAAAAGAAGCACAAAAAGGCAAAGUGACUGAGAAAUUGAACCUGCUGACUUGAUACUCUAGCAAUUAAUCCGGCCCACUUGCUUUUCAUAUUGAACAAUGCUAUCCCAAAGGAAAAGAAAGAGCUUCUACAAGCUUUGAUUUUGUAUUCUGAGAUUUCAAAACCGGAUCUAAUACUUUCAAAUAAGUGGAUACUGGAACAUUUUAAGAUAUAAUUUGGAAAAUAUUCUGGUGUACUCAAGUCCAAAGGGAAAUUUAGUAAGAAAUUCUGGGCCGUCCAAACCAAACCUCCAAAAGGAAAGAAAUCAUGGCUGUUUGGGGAGCAACUCAACAUUGCUGUUAUGGAACCCAAUUCACAGUGCCUUAUGUCUCUGCCUGUCCAUGUUCUACUUGAUAAACUCCUAAGGAAAAGAAUUUGGGUCUAACUUGAGUCACUUCUCUGUCUAUUGGACUCAGUCAACCAUGGCCAAAGAGGCUGGUGGAACUGACCACUGGGAGAAAGAUGACGAGUGUUCCUGCCACCACAGCUUAAAUUCUACUGUUGACCUUGUACUUUCCUCAUCUCCUUGAAAG